UAAGGAGGGUGCAAGCGUUAAUCGGAAUUACUGGGCGUAAAGCGCACGCAGGCGGUCAAUUAAGUCAGAUGUGAAAGCCCCGAGCUUAACUUGGGAAGUGCAUCUGAAACUGGUUGGCUAGAGUCUUGUAGAGGGGGGUAGAAUUCCAUGUGUAGCGGUGAAAUGCGUAGAGAUGUGGAGGAAUACCGGUGGCGAAGGCGGCCCCCAGGACAAAGACUGACGCUCAGGUGCGAAGGCGUAGGCGGCAAACGGG
RNAcentral lists this ribosomal RNA (253 nucleotides) under uncultured bacterium. RNAcentral's name for it is "partial 16S ribosomal RNA". It matches the Rfam family "Bacterial small subunit ribosomal RNA", at positions 524 to 776 of the family's 1533-position model. The record is from RNAcentral.